UACAGAGGCCUCAAGCGUUAGGCGGAAUCACUGGGCUUAAAGCGUGUGUAGGCGGAUCGUUAAGUGCCUUGUGAAAUCCCACGGCUUAACUGUGGAACGGCUGGGCAUACUGGCGGUCUUGAGCCAUCUAGGGGCGACUGGAACAAACGGUGGAGCGGUGAAAUGCGUAGAUAUCGUUUGGAACGCCAAUGGUGAAAACAGGUCGCUGGGGAUGAGCUGAUGCUGAGACACGAAAGCCAGGGGAGCAAACGGG
Molecule: ribosomal RNA, 253 nt
Filed under: uncultured bacterium
Lineage: Bacteria
Description: partial 16S ribosomal RNA
Rfam family: Bacterial small subunit ribosomal RNA
Source: RNAcentral